AGAAAAGCAGAGAAAAGAACAAGUAGGAAUCAGGGGAACUUACAGAAAGCAACCGGCGGAUGAGAGGUGCAGGCAGAAACUGAUUCUGAAUACAUCUUGGAGCUUCGCACUGAAGGCACACACUGUGUUGGUAGGCUGCGACGGAAUUGCACACGUUACCGUGCAGAAGUAUCGCAACGAAUGCUGUACUUGAUAAGGCAGUCAGUGUGAACUGGCUGUGAAGUAAGGUGGUAACACGGGAAUCUCUCCCGUCCUUUCG
Molecule: non-coding RNA, 259 nt
Filed under: Lactonifactor longoviformis
Lineage: Bacteria; Bacillati; Bacillota; Clostridia; Eubacteriales; Clostridiaceae
Description: T-box sequence
Rfam family: T-box leader
About the family: Uncharged tRNA acts as the effector for transcription antitermination of genes in the T-box leader family. T-boxes are found upstream of many aminoacyl-tRNA synthetase genes and some amino acid biosynthetic genes usually in Gram-positive bacteria.
Source: RNAcentral